ACGGAAGGCAGCAGUGGGGAAUAUUGGGCAAUGGGCGAAAGCCUGACCCAGCAACGCCGCGUGAAGGAAGAAGGUCUUCGGAUUGUAAACUUCUUUUAUGAGGGACGAAGGAAAUGACGGUACCUCAUGAAUAAGCCACGGCUAACUACGUGCCAGCAGCCGCGGUAAUACGUAGGUGCCAAGCGUUAUCCGGAUUUACUGGGUGUAAAGGGCGCGUAGGCGGGGAAGCAAGUCAGAUGUGAAAUCCAUGGGCUCAACUCAUGAACUGCAUUUGAAACUGUUUUUCUUGAGUGUCGGAGAGGUAGAUGGAAUUCCUAGUGUAGCGGUGAAAUGCGUAGAUAUUAGGAAGAACACCAGUGGCGAAGGCGACUUGCUGGACCGCAACUGACGCUGAGGCUCGAAAGCGUGGGGAGCAAACAGGAUUAGAUACCCUGGUA
This is a ribosomal RNA of 437 nucleotides. It matches the Rfam family "Bacterial small subunit ribosomal RNA", at positions 341 to 792 of the family's 1533-position model.